Molecule: non-coding RNA, 280 nt
Organism: Pelobates cultripes (western spadefoot toad)
Lineage: Eukaryota; Metazoa; Chordata; Amphibia; Anura; Pelobatidae
Source: the annotation of a GenBank genome assembly
CAACAUAGAAACAUUGAAUGUGACGACAGAUAAGAACCAUUUGGCCCAUCUAAUCUCCCCAAUUUUCUUAAUACGUUCAUUAGACCUUGGCCUUAUCUUAUUGCUAGGAUAGCCUUAUGCCUAUCCCACACAAAACUGAAUAAAUGUUCCUAUCCUAUUGAGUCCAUGUGGAGUUAAAUUAUUAAAGUUAAAAAUGAAUUUAAUCUCUUCCAUUGUUAUAAUCACUGCCCCUCCAAUUUCUUCUUACUGUUUUUUAAAUAUUUCUAAAAUGUUCCAAAAC